CCUUAGGGUUAAACAAAAUUUUCCCCAAUUCGAUGCCAAAGCUGAGAUCCUCUCUUUCUUGCUUUGUAUGUUCGAUCGGUUUGAUUCCGUGACGAAGCUCGCUCUUCGCUGUGAUCGGAGGUCUUUUAGCUUGAGGAUGAAGCUUUGGUUAUGAUCUUGGUUCGUUGCUCGAAUCUGACUCGAGUCAAGCUUCGUGGUUGUCGCGAGAUUACGGAUCUAGGAUCUCUUUGAGCUUGAAAGAUGCAUUGAAUCUGGUGUGAACAAGACGAAGACACAAUUAGAUAUCUAUUUGGCUGAGCCGAGGCUAGAGUGGAAAGCAUUUCCCAAUUUAGAUGUUUUGAGCUACAGGAAAAGUAACCAAGGUUGACUUGGGGACUUAGCCUUGAUGGCCCGUGAUGUUCUCAGCAUCUCCAUUACUACUGUAGCCUCAGAAUCAGCUUUCAGCAUUGGAGCUAGGGUGUUGACUCCUUACAGAAAUCGUCUGCUGCCAGAAAAGGUUCAGGCUUUGCUUUGUACGCGUCAUUGGUUAAGAGGCUUUUCAGACUAUGAAGAAUCCGGCGAACAAGAGGGAGAUACACUGCGACAAACCAAGAAAAACUCUCUAGACCCGUUUGAGCUUUUGGUAUGUUAACAAACCAAGAAACAAAACUCUCUUUUGAUCCCUAUCUACUGGAGAAUACUAUGUAGUUCGACAAGUUUGUCUUAAUAUUAAUAUCGUGAUUUUGUGAGAGUUUGAAGCUUUUGUCAUAGAAUAUUUGUUAUUUGAAGCUUUUGUCAUAGAAUAUUCUCAUUUUCCAUUUGUUUCAAAAACAUAACAUAUGUUUCAGAUUUGUAUUCUGCUACUUAGCUUAU
Camelina sativa (false flax) is the source of this 852-nucleotide long non-coding RNA. RefSeq annotates it as polypyrimidine tract-binding protein homolog 3. The record is from RefSeq and is a predicted model, not a curated record. NCBI's taxonomy places the organism in Eukaryota, Viridiplantae, Streptophyta, Magnoliopsida, Brassicales, Brassicaceae.